This 1233-nucleotide ribosomal RNA is filed under the name Triticum aestivum (bread wheat). Its description in RNAcentral is "partial small subunit ribosomal RNA". The record is from RNAcentral. Lineage: Eukaryota; Viridiplantae; Streptophyta; Magnoliopsida; Poales; Poaceae.
AUGGGCAACUGCGGCACGCGGGAGGAGAAUGCCGUCGUCGCCGCGCACGCGCAAGUUCAGCAGCUGCACUUGCUGCAACAUUCUGCCAAGAAUGCUCUUGCAGAUAGGAAGCACAACCGGACCUUUUCAGACAUAAGUGAUCAUUCAACGCCUGGCAAAAUUGAAGAUACCAAGGACAUUUCCAUAUACAACAAUGUGAUUGCCUUCACAUUGUUUGAGCUUGAAACAAUCACAAAGAGCUUUCGUGCCGAUUAUGUUCUUGGUGAAGGAGGCUUUGGGACUGUUUACAAGGGUUAUAUAGACGAGAAUGUCCGGGUUGGCCUGAAAUCGCUGCCUGUUGCUGUCAAGGUGCUCAACAAAGAUGGACAUCAAGGACACAGAGAAUGGCUUACUGAGGUUAAUUUCCUGGGGCAGCUAAGGCAUCCAAAUCUAGUAAAGUUGAUUGGAUAUUGCUGUGAAGAUGAUCACCGGCUGCUUGUCUACGAGUUCAUGUUUCGAGGAAGUCUAGAAAAUCAUUUAUUUCGAAAGACAGCAUCCCCUUUACCCUGGGCUACUAGGAUGUCUAUAGCUUUGGGAGCUGCCAAAGGGUUGGCUUGCCUCCACAAUGCUGAAAGGCCUGUUAUCUACAGAGAUUUCAAGACCUCGAACAUUCUGCUAGACUCUGAUUAUACGGCCAAGCUGUCUGACUUUGGCCUGGCAAAAGCUGGACCAGAAGGUGAUGAGACCCAUGUAUCGACAAGAGUGAUGGGAACAUAUGGCUAUGCUGCCCCUGAAUAUGUGAUGACCGGCCACUUGACCGCCAGAAGCGAUGUCUACAGCUUUGGCGUCGUCCUUCUGGAGCUGCUCACAGGGCGCAAGUCCAUCGACAAGUCACGGUCCAGCAGGGAGCACAGCUUGGUGGACUGGGCCUGCCCCAAGCUGAAUGACAAGAGGAGGCUUCUCCAGAUCAUUGACCCGAGGCUGGAGGGGCAGUACUCAGUCAGAGCAGCUCACAAGGCUUGCAGCCUGGCAUACUACUGCCUGAGCCAGAACCCCAAGGCGAGGCCGCUGAUGAGCGACGUGGUGGAGACCCUUGAGCCACUGCAGUUGCAGGGCAGCGAUGCAAGCUUUCAGUCCAUCCAUGUCCCUGACUACAGGAUUCACCGUAGGCUAACGGGGAACAAUGUCCACUACAGGGCCAUCCCGAACCCGAAAUGCGCCCCGGCUGCCGUCCCGGCGUGCAGGGUGCGGUGA